UGUUUCGGCUAGGGGGCCAUCCCGGCUUACCAACCCGAUGCAAACUGCGAAUACCGGAGAAUGUUAUCACGGGAGACACACGGCGGGUGCUAACGUCCGUCGUGAAGAGGGAAACAACCCAGACCGCCAGCUAAGGUCCCAAAGUCAUGGUUAAGUGGGAAACGAUGUGGGAAGGCCCAGACAGCCAGGAUGUUGGCUUAGAAGCAGCCAUCAUUUAAAGAAAGCGUAAUAGCUCACUGGUCGAGUCGGCCUGCGCGGAAGAUGUAACGGGGCUAAACCAUGCACCGAAGCUGCGGCAGCGAACGUAUCACUUAAAGCG
RNAcentral lists this ribosomal RNA (319 nucleotides) under Salmonella enterica subsp. enterica serovar Newport. Its description in RNAcentral is "partial 23S ribosomal RNA". It matches the Rfam family "Bacterial large subunit ribosomal RNA", at positions 911 to 1228 of the family's 2925-position model. RNAcentral also lists the same sequence under 1 other name. Lineage: Bacteria; Pseudomonadati; Pseudomonadota; Gammaproteobacteria; Enterobacterales; Enterobacteriaceae. The record is from RNAcentral.